Molecule: long non-coding RNA, 1093 nt
Filed under: Phasianus colchicus (ring-necked pheasant)
Lineage: Eukaryota; Metazoa; Chordata; Aves; Galliformes; Phasianidae
Description: lncRNA (ENSPCLG00000021016.1)
Source: RNAcentral
CGAUUUUAUCAGAAAGGAGGUCAGUAUGUACAGGCCCAUUCUAUAAUACAACAUAAUGAAAUGUAACCGUGUCUCAAGGAGAGGAGGCAGCCAAAUGUUUCUGUCUGAUUGGACGUAUUUAAUUCCAGUAUUAAGUCAGAUGGAAGUGGGCUCUGUACUUGUACUUGCUCCACCUGAAACAUCUGCAGUUUUGCAGGGAUAAACCUGAAUUGACUUUUGAUGCACAAAUUGAUUCUCAGCCCCUCCAGUCCAAGUGAGCUGUGCAGCUCACGCUGCCCUGCUUUGCUGGGUGGUUGUUGCAGAGCCUGUUACUGAAGUGCCCAGGUGUCCUAUGGCCUUUCCAUAACAACUUGCCUUUCCGUUCUCGGCUGCCUAUUUUUAGAGCUUUAUCAAUAUCUUGCUAGGAGCGUGUUAAAGAGCUUUGCUCAGGGCCAGCUGUAAUCACUUGUUUGUGUAAGAGAGCACUACAGGGCUGGUCUGCUCUACAGCAGCUCCCAAUCAAAUGAAACCAGCACUGUUUAUUCUGCUUGCAUGCCUUUUCCCUGCCUUCUCUUUGCUUUUCAACAUAAAUUGGUGGGAAAUGUUGCUUUGCAUUGAUUUUGUGUCGUGAGGGAUUGCUUUCCAUUUAUAAAAAAUAUUUCUGUUUACAGUGUACAGUAUAGGUUUAGCAAUCUUAAAUCUUAGAAGAUUUUUCCAUAGCCUGGAUGUGAGACCACCAGGCUCACCACAGCCCGUUCUGUAAAGGUCACUCCUUUGGAAAAAGCUGUAGAAGAGAAUGAACUACAAACUCUGUAAACUCUGACAAUUUGAAGAACAAACCAUGCAUGAGGAAGGGAACACCAGCGGAGGUGCCAUCAUGAUGCAAGAUGGGUAUGAGGAGGAAGUGGAAGAGGGGAAAACCCCAGCAGAGCAGGGACACUCCUUGGUCCUGAGGAGGGCACCCAUUUCCCACAGAUGCUCACAUGGGGCUGCUCAUCCACCAUCUUUGGCAACAAGCUACAGGGGAACAUGACAGGCACUGCAGAGAAGACAAUGUUAUUGGAGAGUAAACGAGCUGGAAAUAAACACUCUUAACAAUGAGUUAUUGACCUCA